ACAACUUCUGUAAUCUGUCGUCAAAGGAGCAUAAUGGACUCAGAAAGCCCUGCCAGACUCUUUGUGCCCCCCCCAACACCCACUGCUCUGCUUUGUGUAAAUCCUGCUUGCUGUAUUCCCAGUGAAACGCCAAUGGAAUUAACUUUCAUAGAUGUAAAAAGAGACAGACCCUGUACUUAAGGGAGCCCUAGAGGGAGACUGGAAAGCCAGAGGAAGGAGUUGGUACCUUCCCCUUCUUGUUGCUGAUUAGUCUCUUCAAAAUCACUGCACAACGAUUCUUCAUCCAGCAGCAACAAUUCACUCCUGUUUCAGGGAGACAAACCCAGGUUUGGAAAGGAGCUUUUAAAAUCAUUGGAAUUUCCCAGAGCAUCUGUUACCUACAAAUCCCUUGGUCCACACCUGAGUUCAUGUUAAUGAGAUGGUUUUGAAUAGAGAUUGGAUACCAGGCAGGCCAAUGUGUGAAAAGAGGGCUGGUGCUUUGAGCCCCAGGAGGGUGAAGGGGUGGAGAUUGAGUUAUCAGUUAUGCCUGCAUAAUGUGAAGCUCAUUAAGCUUCUUGGCUGGUGAACACAAUGAGAAGAAGAAUAUGUCAUGAUCCACCCACAGAGAGGAUCCGCAUGCAGGACCCACCCAGACCUCACCGUAAGUCUCUUCAUUUGUCUAAUCCUGAUCUACAUCCUUAGGAUAAAAUCAUGAAUAUGGCACUUUCUUGAGUUGUUUGAGUCAUUUUAGCAAAUUAUGUGAAAGCUCAUGGGACCCCACCCCAUCCCCUGGUUUUGAGGCGGCCAGGUGGUCAGAACU
Molecule: long non-coding RNA, 799 nt
Organism: Heterocephalus glaber (naked mole-rat)
Lineage: Eukaryota; Metazoa; Chordata; Mammalia; Rodentia; Bathyergidae
Source: RefSeq, a predicted model, not a curated record